RNAcentral lists this ribosomal RNA (396 nucleotides) under uncultured bacterium. Its description in RNAcentral is "bacterial SSU rRNA". It matches the Rfam family "Bacterial small subunit ribosomal RNA", at positions 360 to 773 of the family's 1533-position model. The record is from RNAcentral.
AAUCUUGGACAAUGGGGGCAACCCUGAUCCAGCGAUGCCGCGUGGGUGAUGAAGGCCUUCGGGUUGUAAAGCCCUUUCGGCGGGGACGAUAGUGACGGUACCCGCAGAAGAAGCCUCGGCUAACUCCGUGCCAGCAGCCGCGGUAAGACGGGGGAGGCUAGCGUUGUUCGGAAUUACUGGGCGUAAAGCGCGCGCAGGCGGUUUUGCAAGUCAGGGGUGAAAGCCCGGGGCUCAACCUCGGAACUGCCCUUGAGACUGCAGGACUGGAGACCGAGAGAGGAGAGUGGAAUUCCCAGUGUAGAGGUGAAAUUCGUAGAUAUUGGGAAGAACACCAGUGGCGAAGGCGGCUCUCUGGCUCGGUACUGACGCUCAUGCGCGAAAGCGUGGGGAGCAAAC